AACUGAAGAACACAUGUCAUCUGAAAAGGGUUCUCAAAAGAAAUCUCUCAGAAGGCAUCAUCUAUUAAAGGGAUCGGUGAAUGGAUUGGACUGGAAUGAAAUUGAAAUGGAUGUUCACUUGGAUCUGAAUUUGACAAAGAGGAGCACUUUCUUCAGUGAGAGUUGAGGAGCAAAGGGAGAUCACUGUCCAUUUGUACAAAUCUCAAGUUGUUGCACAGGGCCUCCUCUUGGUGUCUUCCUGCAGGAUGCUAGGGGGCCCAUGCAUCUACAUUCCUGCUCCAUCACAGGCGACAGCAUCAGAAGACGAGCCAGGAGCCUGUUGGUCGAGUCAAAGCCAGGACCUGUCAGUCAAUGUCUAAUGUUGGAGGAGGUGUAGGACCUGCGCAGUAUGACCAUCUCCAGCUCAGAAGCGGCGGGCACGGAAGUAACAGUGCCAGUGGCAACAGGAAAUGACCACAUUUCCAGGACCUGGAGAUGAUGUCAGAUGGCAGUGACUGGAGGACGACGAAAACUGAAGACAAUGGAGAGGGAAAGAUGAACUUCUGAAGUUGAUUCAGUUCUAGUAAUGUCAAUUUAAUAUUAAUGUAUUAACCUUUUUACCAUUUAUACAGUUUAUUCAAUAACUUAUUCCACAAUCCAAGAUGGUGCUGGAGUGUGGCUACAUUGUCCAUUUUAGAUUUAUUUAAUAUUGUACAUGUGACAAUAUUAAAUGAAUCUAAAUCAAAAUAUUAAGUAAAUUUAACUCUGGUGUUUUUGCACAAUAUUGUGGGAAUCUCCAUUAAGAUGCUGUCUUCCUCCAGUUACUGUUCUGUCCUCAGGUAUAUUUAGGUCUCAAUGUAGCAGAGUUAUUUUUGGAUCUUUAAUUAAUGUAGUUCCUGGCACAUUUGUUCCGGUUGCCAAAUGUUGAUCUACGUGUCUUCUCCAUGUUACAUCAUUUCUUAUCUAUCCGUUGCAUGAGUCAUAGAGAUCUACAACACAGAAAAAAGCUCUUCAGUCCAGCGCAUUCAUCACAAUAAAAAAAACAGCAGGGAAGUGGUCCAGUCUAUGCUACAACGAUGGCUGGUACACACUUCUCGCCAGUGGUGUAAUUCCUCACCAACAUCUCUUGAUCUUUUUGGAAAAUGUAGCAUUUGGCCUUGUUCUCUCAUUGGAAAACCUGAUUCUGUUAGACCAUAAGAACAAAAGAAAUCGAAACAGGAAUAGACUACAAUUCAGUAGAAUCAUGGCUGCUCCGACAUUCCUCACAACCAUUUACCUGCUUUUUCCCCAUAACCCUUGAUUCCCUGAUUGAUCAAGAAUUUAUCCAUCUCAGCCUUAAAUACACGUGAGCACUCUGCUGCCACAGCUCUCUGUGACAAGGAGUUCCAAAGCUUCUCAACUCUCUAAGAUACAAAUUUCUCCUCAUCUCAUUCUUAAUUUGAUCCUAGAUUCUCCCAUGCGGGGAAAUAUCCU
Chiloscyllium plagiosum (whitespotted bambooshark) is the source of this 1452-nucleotide non-coding RNA. Lineage: Eukaryota; Metazoa; Chordata; Chondrichthyes; Orectolobiformes; Hemiscylliidae. The record is from RefSeq and is a predicted model, not a curated record.